AGGACGAACGCUGGCGGCGUGCCUAAUACAUGCAAGUCGAACGAGACUUUCCUUGGUGGUAACACCUUUGAUUGUCUAGUGGCGAACGGGUGAGUAACACGUGAGAAACCUGCCCUGAAGACGGGGAUAACAGGAGGAAACUUCUGCUAAUACCCGAUACCCCCACCGGAUCGCAUGGUCUGGUGAGGAAAUGGAUUCCGCUUCAGGAGGGUCUCGCGGCCUAUCAGCUUGUGGUGAGGUAACGGCUUACCAAGGCUUGGACGGGUAGCUGGUCUGAGAGGACGAUCAGCCACACUGGGACUGAGACACGGCCCAGACUCCGUACGGGAGGCAGCAGUAAGGAAUAUUGCGCAAUGGGCGAAAGCCUGACGCAGCAACGCCGCGUGCGGGAUGAAGGCCCUCGGUUGUAAACCGCUUUCAGUAGGAAGAAAAUGACGGUACCUACAGAAGAACGCCCGACCAACUACGUGCCAGCAGCCGCGGU
Molecule: ribosomal RNA, 484 nt
Filed under: uncultured soil bacterium
Lineage: Bacteria
Description: bacterial SSU rRNA
Rfam family: Bacterial small subunit ribosomal RNA
Source: RNAcentral